Molecule: ribosomal RNA, 549 nt
Filed under: uncultured bacterium
Lineage: Bacteria
Description: partial 16S ribosomal RNA
Rfam family: Bacterial small subunit ribosomal RNA
Source: RNAcentral
UGGGGGAAUUUUUGGACAAUGGGGGAAACCCUGAUCCAGCCAUCCCGCGUGUGCGAUGAAGGCCUUCGGGUUGUAAAGCACUUUUGGCAGGAAAGAAACGUCGCGGGUUAAUACCCCGCGAAACUGACGGUACCUGCAGAAUAAGCACCGGCUAACUACGUGCCAGCAGCCGCGGUAAUACGUAGGGUGCAAGCGUUAAUCGGAAUUACUGGGCGUAAAGCGUGCGCAGGCGGUUCGGAAAGAAAGAUGUGAAAUCCCAGAGCUUAACUUUGGAACUGCAUUUUUAACUACCGGGCUAGAGUGUGUCAGAGGGAGGUGGAAUUCCGCGUGUAGCAGUGAAAUGCGUAGAUAUGCGGAGGAACACCGAUGGCGAAGGCAGCCUCCUGGGAUAACACUGACGCUCAUGCACGAAAGCGUGGGGAGCAAACAGGAUUAGAUACCCUGGUAGUCCACGCCCUAAACGAUGUCAACUAGCUGUUGGGGCCUUCGGGCCUUGGUAGCGCAGCUAACGCGUGAAGUUGACCGCCUGGGGAGUACGGUCGCAAGAUU